CGCACCAGAGGGCCUUGGCCGCGGGCAUCAUCCCCGACCUUUCCCGGGUCCCCUCCCCCGGCUCCCGAGGCACCGCAGCCGCCGGGAGGCCGGGAUGCCCAUCCUCCCCCUGGGGCCCCGGCAGCGGGCAAAGGAGGCAGGCCCGCAGGCCCAGAGGACCAACGAGCCCAACCGUCCCUGGCCCGGCCCCGGCGGCUCGCCCGCCCCCCAGACUCCCGCCCGCUCCAGACAGUACCUGCCGAGGCUGCGGGAGGGCGGCGGCGGCGCCGGCGGGAGCGGCCCACAGCUCAGGCUAGCGGGCGGCCUCUCGCUCCGACCGAGACCCCCGUCCCGCUGCCGAGCGCCCGACCGGCCCUGGCCUGCGCCUUACGUAAACCGGCGGCGGCGGCAGCGGCGGCGGCGGCGGCAGCGGCGGCGGUGACUCCGGCGGCUGCUCCCAGCGCCACUAGGCGGAGGGGAGGGGAAGGGAGGGGGCAAGGGAAGAGGGAGGGGGACGGGGAAGCCUCUCCGCUCGGUUACCCGGCAACUGGCCUCAGCGCCCCGCCAACCAGGUUAUAUUCCCUGCAAAAUGAGGAUAAAAUGACCAUGUACUUCCCAGAAAAUGAAGGAAUUGGACCAAGUUGCUAUGGUCUCCUACAGCUCUGCAAUUCUACAUUCAACCAUCUGGGUAUAAAACUACACAGUGACCUGGAACUAGAGUGACCAGAGAAAUCUGACUUUCCUAGAGGAAUCAGCCUUGUAGCAAUUACCUGUUAAGGCUGCUACUGCUGCUAUUACCCAGCUUGAAUAAAAGCUUUCACUACCAUAAGAGGUCA
Molecule: long non-coding RNA, 815 nt
Filed under: Monodelphis domestica (gray short-tailed opossum)
Lineage: Eukaryota; Metazoa; Chordata; Mammalia; Didelphimorphia; Didelphidae
Description: lncRNA (ENSMODG00000042051.1)
Source: RNAcentral